RNAcentral lists this long non-coding RNA (478 nucleotides) under Panax ginseng (ginseng). RNAcentral's name for it is "long non-coding RNA (PGIN_LNC000492)". Lineage: Eukaryota; Viridiplantae; Streptophyta; Magnoliopsida; Apiales; Araliaceae. The record is from RNAcentral.
CCGUUUCUCUCUAAAUUCUCUCUAGUAUUUCCAAGCUUCCAUCAAUAGGCUUGAGUGUACUUGGUGUGAACACUUAAUUAGUUCGUUCGCAUUGAUUGCUUGUAACAACUAUAUAUUGUCGAGAAGUACGAAGAAUCGUAGUAGCUGUGUUCGUGGUGUCGUUUGUAGAUUUGGCAUUCGAUUUAACCUUUCGCUUCGUGGAUACUUACCGAUUCAUAUGUAAGUAUUAUUUAUGUGUUAGUUUUCACCUAAAAUUCUAACAUUUGUAUCAGAGCCAUGCUAUGCCUGAUCUCGCAUAAAUAUUUUGUCAUUAUUUUUUAUUUUUUGCAUAUAAAGCUUGUAAUAUGAAAUUAAUGGCAUAAUAUGCUAGAGUACAUAUUAGAGGCUAAAAAUACAGUAUGGUGUAGUCCAUAUGCAUGUUUAGACACCUGCAAAAUUUCGUUGUAAUCGGAUUUGAAUUUUGAGAGAAAACACGAAC